Eptesicus fuscus (big brown bat) is the source of this 628-nucleotide long non-coding RNA. RefSeq lists it as uncharacterized. The transcript is spliced from 4 exons. The record is from RefSeq and is a predicted model, not a curated record. NCBI's taxonomy places the organism in Eukaryota, Metazoa, Chordata, Mammalia, Chiroptera, Vespertilionidae.
CGACAAGGUUAGAAGACGGUGAAGUAAGGGUGCCUCCUGCCAGCGAUAUUCUCAGAGAAGGCUGGAAAGGGGAGGGAAGAAGGUGCCCCAGUAGGGGAAAUCAAAAUGCUACCUCCCUGCAGAAAGGGGAAAGUGAUUCUGUCGACAGUGGAGCUCAGGGGGGAUCUGCUCCAGCAGGAGCAGCUCCAAGAUCUCACUGCUUACUGAAGCCAGUACCAAGCCCUCACCCUUGUUUCAAGGCUCCCCGUACUAGGUCUCCCACCUAACUGCAGGAGUGCUUUGUGGGAAAUAAAGCGGAGUGGCAUGAGGCAUCUUCAAGGAACCAUCAAGAGCAAUGGAAAAAAUAUUCUCAGGUGAGGAUUAACAGAAAAACAAAACAAAGAGGUAAAGGGUGGAUCCUCUUAUCUCCAGAGCUGGGGUCCUGAACUGUCAGCCUGCGAGACAAAUGUGCCCGCGCGUCCCUGGCUUUGACUUAAGCCAGGUGAGGCCCUUCCCAGAUCUGAGAUGGACCUUUCACAGCCGCAUCAGCAGGAGGCCCCGCAUGGAUCGUGCCUUUGAGCGGCUGAGACCUCAGCAGACAGGAGUACAUGUGCUGCCUUACAAACUGUCCCCUUUGGGAUUUGAAUAU